UAUUACAUAAAUUAUGCCGCAUGCAUUUAGCAUUUAAUUAAUAAAUCUUGAUGUUUGAUUAGAAGUUUGAGUGCUAUAGAAACGUUGAAUGUAUCAAGGGAAAUAGGCAUAAUUUGUUAAAUUGUGUUAAGAAUUUAUUUCUUUUCCCUUUUCAUUCUUUUAAUUGCUUUACUAAAUGGUUAUAUUUAUGAAGUGCUCUUAAUUUACUGUCUUUUUUUUUGUCAAAUUUUGCAGAAAGUACAGAUGUAGUUCUUUUCUGGAUGAAAAUUGAAAGGAUUAUAUACACUUACAUUCUUUUAAAUGACAUUUUUUGGAUAAACUUGGUGUCUUGACCAAAUUUUGCACAUCUUCACUGAUUUCUUGGGAUACGUGUCACUUCCCACCAACAAUUAUCGAAUAACUCCGCCCACCUAGGCUAGCACAGAUAAAAAGAAAUUACUCAAUGUUUUUGUAUUCUUAUAAAUGACAUUUCUUUAAAAUGAUUUUUAUAUGGUACUAAUUGGAAGAAUUAUUUCAUUCAUUAAGUACUAGUUAACCAAAUCACCAAGGGUUCUCCAUCAUGUUCUAUUGUAUUUGCUUUUGCAUUGAAUUUGCAUUUAGGUUUUCUUCUCUACGAUGCUCGUAACAUUAUGCCUUUGUCUCAAGUAGCAAUGAAGAUGAAAGUGGAUUGAGUUACUGAUGAUUAGGAGGAAACUUGUAAUUUUGUAAUGAAAUGGAGACCUGCAUUUGAAGAGGAGCCUUAGAGUAACUGGUAAAAUUGCUACCAUGUGACUAGGAGGUCACAAAUUCAAGUCUUGAAAAUAGCCUCUUGUAAUGCAAGGAAAGGCUGCAUACGAUAGACCUUUGUGGUCCAGCCCUACAGACUUUGCACAUAGCGAGAGUUUUAGUGCACCGGGCUUUCCUUUAACAGUAGACUUGCAGUUGCACGCUCAAGAUGUAUCCUUGAUUUCAGUUACUGAAUAUUUGUCACCCUGAUGGAGCUUUUAUAAAACAUUAUGACCUUUUUCUUGCCUGUGCUUUAGAGGCUAUUGUCAUAGUUCUACGUGUUUAUAUUUACUUUCUGAGGCAAAAUAAGAAUAGUGAGCUUCUAAUCAACUCGUUGGACUGAAAUUAGGUCACUAGUUUAAGGAUCACUUGGGUCAUUUGUAGAUUUUCUUCAAUGUUUUAUCCUCAUCUUUUUAUUUUUCUCGUAAGUAAUUGUGAAUUUUUUAAUUUAUACUUUAUUAUAAAUUUGGAUGAUGAACCAAAAUAUCCCGAAAAGGUUUAAUUGUUGAGUACAUAAAUAUUCCUUUUUUUCUCUAGGAUUCAAAACCCGUAGUGCUAGAGUCUCUAACUCCUAUAUAGUACUUGAUGCUUUGAAAGUUUAAGAAAAGGAGGCUAGAGAAACAGGCAAACAUGUUAAGGAGUAGGUAUAAUGAUAAGCUGGAGAGGCUAAUUCUUAGACCAUUGUUAUCUAUUGCUUUCACUGUGUGACUUACAAGUAAGUUAGGAAAAAUCAUACUCUAGUAAAUAGAUUAGGUUAUUAAUUGCCUAAGCAAAUUUUGUAACCUUAGGAUGUAAACCUAUGUGUCCUUUUCACAUCCUUUUUCCCUCUAAGUUGUAAAAAUAGUUUUGGUGAUGUUAGGACAUAGGAAUAACAAGUUGUAAUAUUCUACAGGUUGCAAUAUUCUAUCCAAGAUUAUGUCUCUUGCAAAGAUAAGGGACAUAAUCUUGGAUAGAAUAUUUUAGUCAUAUUCGAUUGUGCUACUUAUUCUUCGAUUUAUACAGCUGCUUUGGUCGAGUGCAUUUGGAAGGCGAGGCCCUCUUGUUUAAUGGACCACGAAGGAGGACCCUCAAUUUCUACUGUCUUCUGUAUCACCACUUGCCUCUGUAAAUUAAAUUUUUGUUAACACUUCUUCAGCAACCUACUCUCUUAUUGAUUUCUUUUAACAUAACAAAGAUUUCUUGGAGAAGCUUCAACCUAUUUUAAAGCAAACAUAAGCAGUGGGUUGUAAUUAUUGUUUAUAGUAACAACUAAAUUAAAUUAGCAAUCGUGAUGAUUGAGCAUGUACAGGAAAGAACAUUUAGUAAUCAAAUAUAUCAUUUUGAGCUAAACAUUUUGGUGAUUUAUCCAUCCUCUGUAAAUUUUAUUGCUUCAUGGAAACGUUAUUAAAAGUCAGCUCUUUCAAUCAAAAAUUAUUUAUUUUAAGCUUUUGAGCUGUCUAUUAGUUGGUAGCGGUUAGUAGUUUAGUUUAUAUUUCCUCUAUCCUUUCUCUGUGAAUGAGUGGAAUAUUUUAACUCAUUGUAGCUUUGAUCUUGCAGAUUUUGCAGAUGGAGGGUAAAUAGCCGAAACAGACUUUUGGGAAGAAAUUCCAUGCGUUGUAUAUAGUUUGUUUAUUGGUGCUUUAGGAACGGAUAAAGAUUUCAUUGGUAAAGUUUUGAAGCAUGACUAGACAGAUCCAAAGCUUAAGGAGAUAAUCACUUGGGAGAGAACCUCUAUCCAACCAAAACCUGAGGACUUGUGUGCUUCACGCCAAAAGGUUUAUUGCAGGAAAGAGGAUUCACCUUUAACUCCUUCCACUCUGAUGGAACCUAAGUUAAGCUUUGACAGACUGCUUUACAUUUUUACCGCACAGGGUAUUGCUUGCUUCACAAGAGUCGAUAAUGUGACAUACUGCAUUAAAUAUAAUCUACCAGGGUUUGUCAUUCUCUGAUCUUAUUUAUGUAACAAAAAAAAUAUGGAAACUAAUGUUUCAAAUCUGACUAAACAUCUGGAGAAUGUCGCAGAGGCUCUUGCUGAGCAACUUAAAAUUGUGGGCAUCUCUACACCUAUUUUGAUGGGCCUUAAAUAACUUGCCAACUCGUUACCAAAAGUAAACAACAACAGAUUCAUUACAGACGCCAUUACUCAAGAUGGUAUUGAUAAAUUGAAUGAGCCAACUUAGUCCCCUCCUGAGGUAAGGUGGUUUUUAAAGGAAACAUUAGGUGGAUCUAUUUGUGUUAUAUUCAACAUCAUAGUAUGUUAUUCAACUAGAGAAGAUCUUAGUUCAAUUCACAAAUUAGCAAGGAUAUGAAUAAUAAUGUAUAUUGUGAUUGAGGACGUUGCAAAGCCCAGAUUAAGCAUGGAGUCAGUCUAUUUCUCAAAGGGAACAUGAUGAAAAUUUGCAUGUACUAUUAUUUUUGAGUUAUUUUUAUCUAACAUAGUGUUUUAAGACAAUCUAAAUAGAAUAAUGAUGUAUAAUAUGAAUAGUAGAUGUAUGAGAAUAUAAUUGUAUUUUUCAAUCAAAAUUUGUAGUAAAUAUUAAUUGUAUAAACUAGACAAGAAUGUUAUGUUUUAAAUGUGUUGUCAUUGG
This is a long non-coding RNA of Capsicum annuum, 3332 nucleotides long. RefSeq lists it as uncharacterized. The record is from RefSeq and is a predicted model, not a curated record. The transcript is spliced from 6 exons. NCBI's taxonomy places the organism in Eukaryota, Viridiplantae, Streptophyta, Magnoliopsida, Solanales, Solanaceae.